AGCAGUAGCCGCGGUAAUACGAAGGGUGCAAGCGUUAAUCGGAAUUACUGGGCGUAAAGCGUGCGUAGGCGGUGAGUUAAGUCUGCUGUGAAAUCCCCGAGCUCAACUCCGGAAUUGCCUUUAAGACUGCCGAGCUAGCAGGUGAGAGAGGUAAGUGGAAUUCCGAGUGUAGCAGUGAAAUGCGUAGAUAUGCGGAGGAACACCGAUGGCGAAGGCAGCCCCCUGGGCCAAUACUGACGCUCAUGCACGAAAGCGUGGGGAGCAAACAGGAUUAGAUACCCCAGUAGUCCCUGUCUCUUAUAC
RNAcentral lists this ribosomal RNA (303 nucleotides) under uncultured bacterium. RNAcentral's name for it is "partial 16S ribosomal RNA". It matches the Rfam family "Bacterial small subunit ribosomal RNA", at positions 507 to 807 of the family's 1533-position model. The record is from RNAcentral.